Molecule: ribosomal RNA, 253 nt
Filed under: uncultured bacterium
Lineage: Bacteria
Description: partial 16S ribosomal RNA
Rfam family: Bacterial small subunit ribosomal RNA
Source: RNAcentral
UACGGAGGGUGCAAGCGUUAUCCGGAUUUAUUGGGUUUAAAGGGUGCGCAGGCGGACCUGUCAGUCAGUGGUGAAAACCCGGGGCUCAACUCCGGAACUGCCAUUGAUACUGCAGGUCUUGAAUUCGGUUGAAGUGGGCGGAAUGUGUCAUGUAGCGGUGAAAUGCAUAGAUAUGACACAGAACACCGAUCGCGAAGGCAGCUCACUAAGCCGACAUUGACGCUCAUGCACGAAAGCGUGGGGAGCGAACAGG